GGCGGAGUAGCUCAGUGGCAGAGCAGGGGACUCAUAAGUCUCUGACCGCCAGCGCUGUGCUACGAGCGUGUGAGCGCGAGCGUAACGGCCAUAAUUUCCUUGUCGAUCCCGGCCUCCGUGU
Molecule: transfer RNA, 121 nt
Filed under: Chloroflexota bacterium
Lineage: Bacteria; Bacillati; Chloroflexota
Description: Chloroflexi bacterium (soil metagenome) tRNA-Met
Source: RNAcentral